GAGCGGCAGGCGCAGCAAUGCGCUGAGAGCGGCGGACUGGUGAGUAACGCGUGGGUAAUCUACCUUUGGCAUGGGGAUAGCCACUAGAAAUAGUGGGUAAUACCGAAUACGUUCCCUGGGGGGAGGUUUCAGGGAAGAAAGGGUGCUACGGCACCGGCCGGAGAUGAGCUCGCGUCCCAUUAGCUUGUUGGUGAGGUAACGGCCCACCAAGGCGAUGAUGGGUAGCCGGCCUGAGAGGGUGUACGGCCACACUGGGACUGAGAUACGGCCCAGACUCCUACGGGAGGCAGCAGCUAAGAAUAUUCCGCAAUGGACGAAAGUCUGACGGAGCGACGCCGCGUGGAUGAUGAAGGCCGAAAGGUUGUAAAGUCCUUUUGCUGGGGAAGAAUAAGUGUGGGAGGGAAUGCCCGCAUGAUGACAUGAACCGGCGAAUAAGCCCCGGCCAACUACGUGCCAGCAGCCGCGGUAACACGUAGGGGGCGAGCGUUGUUCGGA
This 495-nucleotide ribosomal RNA is filed under the name uncultured bacterium. Its description in RNAcentral is "bacterial SSU rRNA". It matches the Rfam family "Bacterial small subunit ribosomal RNA", at positions 64 to 549 of the family's 1533-position model. The record is from RNAcentral.